RNAcentral lists this ribosomal RNA (492 nucleotides) under Triticum aestivum (bread wheat). RNAcentral's name for it is "partial small subunit ribosomal RNA". Lineage: Eukaryota; Viridiplantae; Streptophyta; Magnoliopsida; Poales; Poaceae. The record is from RNAcentral.
UGGAUUUCUUGGGAUAAGAUGUGCUCUUCGAAGAGAGAGGGAGGUAGGGACCCGGAGGCUUUCAACCAAGCGUUGCUUGCUAAGCAAGCUUGGAGGAUUUUGCAAAACCCUGAAUCCCUUUGCGCUAGAGUGCUUAAGGCACGGUACUUCAAGGAGGGAUCAAUUAUGACGGCUACGUGCCCAAGUGGAGCCUCGUUCACUUUCCGGAGCAUUUUGCAUGGAAGAGACCUGUUACAAGAAGGUUUAGUGUGGAGGAUUGGUGAUGGCACCUCUGUCAAUGUGCAUCAUGAUAAUUGGAUUCCAAGACAGGGGAGUCUCAAGCCGCUGGGUCAGUUGUAUAUGCAUGGUGUUACCAAGGUGGCCGACCUGCUCAACGUACAGGGAGAUACAUGGGAUGAUGCAAAAAUUGAUGAAAUGUUCUCACCUGAUGAUGCACAGGAUAUUAAACAGAUUGUGGUUGGUGGACCGGGUGUAAUUGCAUGGAAUUUUACA